AUACGGAGGGUGCGAGCGUUAAUCGGAAUUACUGGGCGUAAAGCGUGCGUAGGCGGUUUGCUAAGUCAGAUGUGAAAGCCCCGGGCUUAACCUGGGAACUGCAUUUGAUACUGGCAGACUAGAGUAUGAUAGAGGGGGGUAGAAUUCCUGGUGUAGCGGUGAAAUGCGUAGAUAUCAGGAGGAAUACCAGUGGCGAAGGCGGCCCACUGGAUCAAUACUGACGCUGAGGUACGAAAGCGUGGGGAGCGAACAGGAUUAGAAACCCCAGUAGUCC
This 274-nucleotide ribosomal RNA is filed under the name uncultured bacterium. RNAcentral's name for it is "partial 16S ribosomal RNA". It matches the Rfam family "Bacterial small subunit ribosomal RNA", at positions 523 to 796 of the family's 1533-position model. The record is from RNAcentral.